GCGCGUCGCUCGCUCGCCCGCCCGCCCGCCCCCUACCCGAUCCUGCGAGGCCUUUCCACCUAGGCACAGGCCUGGCCUUCGCGGAGCAUCACCGGCUGCAGCGAAUCCGGCUUCCUUCCCGCGACAGCCCGCAGUCAAGUGUCAGAAUGGGCAGCACAGUGACGGAUGCCAAAUAGGAGCAGUGACAGGAGAGGAAUGUUUGGAGAAUGACACCAGAGAUCCGGAAAGAUCCAUCCCUCUGGGACAGGAGCCUUACACAGAGAGAGAAGAGAAGAAUUCGGGCAAAGAGGAAAGAGUGUCCCCUGCUUCUGCUCAGUGUCCAGGAGUAUCCCGAACAGAAGGUAGGGCCCUCUGACAAUGUCAGCCACCAGACCAGGCUCCAAGAAGUGGCCAAGCUCCAAGAGGAUGGGUGAAAAACACUCUGAA
This 426-nucleotide long non-coding RNA is filed under the name Felis catus (domestic cat). RNAcentral's name for it is "lncRNA (ENSFCAG00000046818.1)". Lineage: Eukaryota; Metazoa; Chordata; Mammalia; Carnivora; Felidae. The record is from RNAcentral.